CCUACGGGUGGCAGCAGUGAGGAAUAUUGCACAAUGGACGCAAGUCUGAACCAGCCAUGCCGCGUGCAUGAUGACGGCUCUCUGAGUUGUAAACUGCUUUUGUACGAGGGUAAUAUCUGAUACGUGUAUCUGCUUGAAAGUAUCGUACGCAUAAGGAUCGGCUAACUCCGUGCCAGCAGCCGCGGUGAUAUGGUGGAUCCAAGCGUUAUCCGGAUUUAUUGGGUUUAAAGGGUGCGUAGGCGGUUUUAUAAGUUAGAGGGGAAAAUUCGGGGCUCAACUCCGGACGUGCCUCUAAUACUGGAUGACUAGAGAAUAGAAGCGGGAGGUGGAAUGUAAGGUGUAGCGGUGAAAUGCGUAGAGAUUAGACAGAACACCGAUUGCGAAGGCAGCUUA
Molecule: ribosomal RNA, 393 nt
Filed under: uncultured bacterium
Lineage: Bacteria
Description: partial 16S ribosomal RNA
Rfam family: Bacterial small subunit ribosomal RNA
Source: RNAcentral